RNAcentral lists this ribosomal RNA (253 nucleotides) under uncultured bacterium. RNAcentral describes it as "partial 16S ribosomal RNA". It matches the Rfam family "Bacterial small subunit ribosomal RNA", at positions 524 to 776 of the family's 1533-position model. The record is from RNAcentral.
UACGUAGGGUGCAAGCGUUGCCCGGAUUUAUUGGGCGUAAAGGGCGCGCAGGCGGCUACGCACGUCCGUUGUGAAAUCGCUCGGCUCAACUGGGCGGGGUCGGCGGAUACGGCGUAGCUGGAGCAAGCUAGGGGGCAAUGGAAUUCCCGGUGUAGUGGUGGAAUGCGUAGAUAUCGGGAGGAACACCAGUGGCGAAGGCGGUUGCCUGGAGCUUUGCUGACGCUGAGGCGCGAAAGCGUGGGGAGCGAGCCGG